RNAcentral lists this ribosomal RNA (891 nucleotides) under uncultured marine bacterium. RNAcentral's name for it is "bacterial SSU rRNA". It matches the Rfam family "Bacterial small subunit ribosomal RNA", at positions 8 to 916 of the family's 1533-position model. The record is from RNAcentral.
AGAGUUUGAUCCUGGCUCAGGACGAACGCUGGCGGCGUGCUUAACACAUGCAAGUCGAGCGGAAAGGCCCUUCGGGGUACUCGAGCGGCGAACGGGUGAGUAACACGUGAGUAACCUGCCCUAGGCUUUGGGAUAACCCUCGGAAACGGGGGCUAAUACCGAAUAUGACUUCCUGCCGCAUGGUGGGGGGUGGAAAGUUUUUCGGCUUGGGAUGGACUCGCGGCCUAUCAGCUUGUUGGUGGGGUAAUGGCCUACCAAGGCGACGACGGGUAGCCGGCCUGAGAGGGCGACCGGCCACACUGGGACUGAGACACGGCCCAGACUCCUACGGGAGGCAGCAGUGGGGAAUAUUGCACAAUGGGCGAAAGCCUGAUGCAGCGACGCCGCGUGAGGGAUGACGGCCUACGGGUUGUAAACCUCUUUCAGCAGGGACGAAGCGUAAGUGACGGUACCUGCAGAAGAAGCGCCGGCCAACUACGUGCCAGCAGCCGCGGUGGCAGUAGGGCGCGAGCGUUGUCCGGAUUUAUUGGGCGUAAAGAGCUCGUAGGCGGCUUGUCGCGUCGACUGUGAAAACCCGCAGCUCAACUGCGGGCCUGCAGUCGAUACGGGCAGGCUAGAGUUCGGUAGGGGAGACUGGAAUUCCUGGUGUAGCGGUGGAAUGCGCAGAUAUCAGGAGGAACACCGGUGGCGAAGGCGGGUCUCUGGGCCGAUACUGACGCUGAGGAGCGAAAGCGUGGGGAGCGAACAGGAUUAGAUACCCUGGUAGUCCACGCUGUAAACGUUGGGCGCUAGGUGUGGGGGACCUCUCCGGUUCUCUGUGCCGCAGCUAACGCAUUAAGCGCCCCGCCUGGGGAGUACGGCCGCAAGGCUAAAACUCAAAGGAAUUGACGG